AGGGAAACCGAGUCUUAACUGGGCGUUAAGUUGCAGGGUAUAGACCCGAAACCCGGUGAUCUAGCCAUGGGCAGGUUGAAGGUUGGGUAACACUAACUGGAGGACCGAACCGACUAAUGUUGAAAAAUUAGCGGAUGACUUGUGGCUGGGGGUGAAAGGCCAAUCAAACCGGGAGAUAGCUGGUUCUCCCCGAAAGCUAUUUAGGUAGCGCCUCGUGAACUCAUCUUCGGGGGUAGAGCACUGUUUCGGCUAGGGGGUCAUCCCGACUUACCAACCCGAUGCAAACUGCGAAUACCGAAGAAUGUUAUCACGGGAGACACACGGCGGGUGCUAACGUCCGUCGUGAAGAGGGAAACAACCCAGACCGCCAGCUAAGGUCCCAAAGUCACAGUUAAGUGGGAAACGAUGUGGGAAGGCUCAGACAGCCAGGAUGUUGGCUUAGAAGCAGCCAUCAUUUAAAGAAAGCGUAAUAGCUCACUGGUCGAGUCGGCCUGCGCGGAAGAUGUAACGGGGCUAAACUGUGCACCGAAGCUGCGGCAGCGACGCUUAUGCGUUGUUGGGUAGGGGAGCGUUCUGUAAGCCUGCGAAGGUGUCCUGUGAGGGAUGCUGGAGGUAUCAGAAGUGCGAAUGCUGACAUAAGUAACGAUAAUGCGGGUGAAAAGCCCGCUCGCCGGAAGACCAAGGGUUCCUGUCCAACGUUAAUCGGGGCAGGGUGAGUCGACCCCUAAGGCGAGGCCGAAAGGCGUAGUCGAUGGGAAACGGGUUAAUAUUCCCGUACUUGGUGUUACUGCGAAGGGGGGACGGAGAAGGCUAUGUUGGCCGGGCGACGGUUGUCCCGGUUUAAGCGUGUAGGCUGGUUUUCCAGGCAAAUCCGGAAAAUCAAGGCUGAGGCGUGAUGACGAGGCACUACGGUGCUGAAGCAACAAAUGCCCUGCUUCCAGGAAAAGCCUCUAAGCAUCAGGUAACAUCAAAUCGUACCCCAAACCGACACAGGUGGUCAGGUAGAGAAUACCAAGGCGCUUGAGAGAACUCGGGUGAAGGAACUAGGCAAAAUGGUGCCGUAACUUCGGGAGAAGGCACGCUGACACGUAGGUGAAGUGAUUUACUCA
RNAcentral lists this ribosomal RNA (1109 nucleotides) under Salmonella enterica. Its description in RNAcentral is "bacterial LSU rRNA". It matches the Rfam family "Bacterial large subunit ribosomal RNA", at positions 670 to 1773 of the family's 2925-position model. The record is from RNAcentral. Lineage: Bacteria; Pseudomonadati; Pseudomonadota; Gammaproteobacteria; Enterobacterales; Enterobacteriaceae. RNAcentral also lists the same sequence under 2 other names.